This 497-nucleotide ribosomal RNA is filed under the name uncultured bacterium. RNAcentral's name for it is "partial 16S ribosomal RNA". It matches the Rfam family "Bacterial small subunit ribosomal RNA", at positions 28 to 507 of the family's 1533-position model. The record is from RNAcentral.
GAUGAACGCUGGCGGCGUGCCUAAUACAUGCAAGUCGAGCGAACGGACGAGAAGCUUGCUUCUCUGAUGUUAGCGGCGGACGGGUGAGUAACACGUGGAUACCCUACCUAUAAGACUGGGAUAACUUCGGGAAACCGGAGCUAAUACCGGAUAAUAUUUUGAACCGCAUGGUUCAAAAGUGAAAGACGGUCUUGCUGUCACUUAUAGAUGGAUCCGCGCUGCAUUAGCUAGUUGGUAAGGUAACGGCUUACCAAGGCAACGAUGCAUAGCCGACCUGAGAGGGGGAUCGGGCACACUGGAACUGAGACACGGUCCAGACUCCUACGGGAGGCAGAAGUAGGGAAUCUUCCGCAAUGGGCGAAAGCCUGACGGAGCAACGCCGCGUGAGUGAUGAAGGUCUGCGGAUCGUAAAACUCUGUUAUUAGGGAAGAACAUAUGUGUAAGUAACUGUGCACAUCUUGACGGUACCUAAUCAGAAAGCCACGGCUAACUACGUG